RNAcentral lists this ribosomal RNA (642 nucleotides) under Priestia megaterium. RNAcentral's name for it is "bacterial SSU rRNA". It matches the Rfam family "Bacterial small subunit ribosomal RNA", at positions 60 to 683 of the family's 1533-position model. The record is from RNAcentral. Lineage: Bacteria; Bacillati; Bacillota; Bacilli; Caryophanales; Bacillaceae.
AGUCGAGCGAACUGAUUAGAAGCUUGCUUCUAUGACGUUAGCGGCGGACGGGUGAGUAACACGUGGGCAACCUGCCUGUAAGACUGGGAUAACUUCGGGAAACCGAAGCUAAUACCGGAUAGGAUCUUCUCCUUCAUGGGAGAUGAUUGAAAGAUGGUUUCGGCUAUCACUUACAGAUGGGCCCGCGGUGCAUUAGCUAGUUGGUGAGGUAACGGCUCACCAAGGCAACGAUGCAUAGCCGACCUGAGAGGGUGAUCGGCCACACUGGGACUGAGACACGGCCCAGACUCCUACGGGAGGCAGCAGUAGGGAAUCUUCCGCAAUGGACGAAAGUCUGACGGAGCAACGCCGCGUGAGUGAUGAAGGCUUUCGGGUCGUAAAACUCUGUUGUUAGGGAAGAACAAGUACGAGAGUAACUGCUCGUACCUUGACGGUACCUAACCAGAAAGCCACGGCUAACUACGUGCCAGCAGCCGCGGUAAUACGUAGGUGGCAAGCGUUAUCCGGAAUUAUUGGGCGUAAAGCGCGCGCAGGCGGUUUCUUAAGUCUGAUGUGAAAGCCCACGGCUCAACCGUGGAGGGUCAUUGGAAACUGGGGAACUUGAGUGCAGAAGAGAAAAGCGGAAUUCCACGUGUAGCGGUG